Molecule: ribosomal RNA, 383 nt
Filed under: marine Metazoa environmental sample
Lineage: Eukaryota; Metazoa
Description: SSU rRNA
Rfam family: Eukaryotic small subunit ribosomal RNA
Source: RNAcentral
AGCUCCAAUAGCGUAUAUUAAAGCUGUUGCAGUUAAAAAGCUCGUAGUCGGAUGUCGGGAAGCGGCCAAUGGUUCGGUUCCGUGCCGAUACUGCUGGUCGAGGCCUCCACGUCGUCUGUCUUCUGGUGCGCUUAACUGUGUGCCAGGAGCGGUCGGAGCGUUUACUUUGAAAAAAUUAGAGUGUUCAAGGCAGGCCUUACGAGCCUGAAUGAUGGUGCAUGGAAUAAUGGAAUAGGACCUCGGUUCUAUUUUGUUGGUCUUCGGAAUUGGAGGUAAUGAUAAAUAGGGACGGACGGGGGCAUUCGUAUUGCGACGUUAGAGGUGAAAUUCUUGGAUCGUCGCAAGACGGACUACAGCGAAAGCAUUUGCCAAGAAUGUUUUCA